This 477-nucleotide ribosomal RNA is filed under the name uncultured bacterium. Its description in RNAcentral is "bacterial SSU rRNA". It matches the Rfam family "Bacterial small subunit ribosomal RNA", at positions 28 to 507 of the family's 1533-position model. The record is from RNAcentral.
GAUGAACGCUAGCGGGAGGCCUAACACAUGCAAGCCGAGCGGUAGAGUCUCUUCGGAGACUUGAGAGCGGCGCACGGGUGCGGAACACGUGUGCAACCUGCCUUUAUCUGGGGGAUAGCCUUUCGAAAGGAAGAUUAAUACCCCAUAAUAUAUUGACUGGCAUCAGUUGAUAUUGAAAACUCCGGUGGAUAGAGAUGGGCACGCGCAAGAUUAGAUAGUUGGUGAGGUAACGGCUCACCAAGUCUGCGAUCUUUAGGGGGCCUGAGAGGGUGAUCCCCCACACUGGUACUGAGACACGGACCAGACUCCUACGGGAGGCAGCAGUGAGGAAUAUUGGACAAUGGGUGAGAGCCUGAUCCAGCCAUCCCGCGUGAAGGACGACGGCCCUAUGGGUUGUAAACUUCUUUGUACGGAACAAAAUGCGACCUGCGGGUUGUACUGAGGGUACCGUAAGAAUAAGCACCGGCUAACUACGUG